AACUCAAAUCCUAAAUCGUAUUAAAAUUCUAGAGUUCGUGUGUUCAGGUUCUUCCCUAGGAUGUUCGGUUGUUCGCGAUACCCUCCCCGUGCUCAUGAUGCCAGGCAUGUGCACUGACUUCCUGUGGCCUCCUUUCUCCGCGCAGAGAGCCUCAAUGCCGAGGUGGCCAAAGGUGAGAACCCUGAGGCUGUGGUAUCCCAGGAGCCCCAAGCCCAGCAGACGUUGCUGCAGUCCCCCAAUGCGGAGCCCCCUCAGGAGUGAGAACAAACGGUAAAGAACGACAAUACACACCCCUCCAACACGGAUCUACCCACCCUGCCCACAGCCCCAUCCGCAGACUAUACGUUCAUCUCUACUCCACCCUUCCACACCGACGACAUGCCCCUUUACAGUUUAACGAAAAACGCCGGACUGACCAUCUUCAUCUGUAGUCAACGCCUCCUACCUAAGGAUGCUCCUGGAAAUUUAGGAAGAGAUGCCCGUCUCCAUUGUGUUGUUUGGUCUUUAGAAGAUAAUCGAAGAACUACGACGCGUGCGAUAAAUUGCUGUUGUUGAACAUCCGGCUUAUUAGUGAGCUCAGAUUUGGAAGUGACCCUUGUAGGAGUCAUAACCAGAUCUGAUGUCACACUGCACAGCUGUCUGCUCACCCUCUGUAUGUACCAUUAUGAUAAGUGAGUGUUGCGAUUCACGUCCAUAAUUCUUCCACUACACCGACUGGGACAUUAUAUUUAUUGCCGUUUUUUUUUCUCUUUGGGGAAUGUGUAACUUUGUGUGUGUGUGUUUGUGAUGGGGGGGUCAUCUUUAGACCCCUGUUGAGCCAAGGUGGAGGGGUGGGGGAGGGGGGCUAAUAUUGCUGUUGCUGUUGUGUUAAAAGUCACUGUAACUUAUCAGUCUCUGCCGCUGUCCCCCCACCCCACGGUUAAAAUUCCAUGUCUGUGCCGCCGGGAAGUUCCAUGCUUUACUGCUGAAAUCAAUAAGAUUCGACUGUUGUGUGCGUUCGUUUGGAAAAAAAUGAGGGGGGGGAUUCUGAAAAUGUGACCGUUACAAUUGUAGCCCUUCUGAAGUGUUUUUACGAUCUAUUUUGUCGAGUUUAGUGGUCUUCAGUGCCGUAUCCCACCCGGAGCCGCCGAAACACACUGCUUUCUGCAUUCGCCGCUAUGGGCAGCGAUAGACCACAGACCCAUAUGAAACAGCAUCGCUGCAGAGCACUGGUCACUGUUGGAUGAUGUAGUCAUAACAAAUUACAUCCUUUUUAGACUUUGUACAGGUUAUCAUUUUGGACUACAUGUCAAGUGUGACAGUGGAAAUGAAGGAAUACACCUCUACCAGCAGACCAGUCUAUAGUGAUACUCUCGUCAGGCCAUCGCUGAAUGUCACGUUUUUUCUAUAGCUUUCUAUACCUACGUUAGUGAAGUGUGUGAAACCGUAGCAAUUAGGAUGUGAUAUUUUGUGCAUUGCCGUGUAGGCGUCGUCCCCCGAGAGGGAUACUGUGUGCGUAUAGUUGCAAAGCGCUUACUUUGUUUGUGGACGCGUAGCUCCCCACCCCUUUCGCUGUAGUCCGCGAGCGCUCGCUGUCCAAGUGCCCUUCUGCGCCGCUCUUCUCAUCCACACCCUCUUUUAUUUCCCAGUGAAGAGCCUGUAUUUAGGAGACCUCGGGCUUCCUGUGCGAAACCCGAAAGCUUAAUUUACAUCUAUACACAGCCGGCCUCGAAACCAAAGAUGUGGAAGGAAAGGGCUGUGCCAGCGUGAGCUCUUCUGCAUUGACAGUCUCUCUUCCGACGGUCUUCGCUGAGACGGGGUCUUGGAGCAGGUACCCGUUCGGGCACGUGGCGCGUUUCGUUGAAUGUUCCUCUACCAACAGCCUUCACGUAGGACACCUUGAACAGGUGUGGGUGGGGAACUCCAGCUUUGCCUGUGAGUGUUUUGCAAGACGGGGGGGGAAAAAAAAAAAAGCUGUGGACUGUGCAUGCUUACAGUAUAUAGUUUGUACAUAAGUAGGAGCAUAUUCACGUUACUCUUCGAACCCGGUUGACAAACCGAGCUUUGCGAUUUCAAGUAGACUUACAUUUUCAGCUCAGCUGUUCAGAUUUGUCUUCAGUGCAUGUUCUUUGCAGUCACGGUCACAUCGCCUUAUUGGAUGUAGCAGAAGGAGGAAGCAAGGGGGAAGAGGGGCCCAGUAGAGGAUGACAAGUGCUGUCCUGCCACUUGGUGCUCAAGUCAAUGCUUUAAGUCUUACCCUCACCUUACCCCCUUUUUCAGUAGCAACGCCUUCCUAGAUGUUCCUUCCAGUGCCUCUAAGCCCUAGAGUAGGGAGAUCUGACGUGACACGAAACGUUUUUUAAAGCUUAAACUUGCUGGCUUUUGAUCUGAACGUGUGAGCAAAGCGUAUGCGCGCGUUUCCUACACUACCGACCGCCGUUCCCAAUUCUUAAAUAUCCGUUGUCAACUUCACACGUGUACUGUACUGACUUGACAGUGGAAACAUUUCAACCCAAUAAAAUUACACAUUGAAAAAUCUUAAUUGUGGAC
RNAcentral lists this long non-coding RNA (2529 nucleotides) under Scleropages formosus (Asian bonytongue). Its description in RNAcentral is "lncRNA (ENSSFOG00015027429.1)". Lineage: Eukaryota; Metazoa; Chordata; Actinopteri; Osteoglossiformes; Osteoglossidae. The record is from RNAcentral.